GCACAUUCUAGAGCCUAAUUCAUUCUAAUUAACAAUUAAAAUUACAUUCAAAUCCAAAUUAUAAGUUUUAAUGCUAAAACCAUCCUAAAAUAAAUUUAUUGUAAUCCAUCUCUACUUAUAUAAGCUGCACCUUGAUCUGAUUUCUUAUACAUUAAUAUAUUCAAAUUAUAUAUUUCCGAAAAUAAUUAACAACAACGAUAUACAAGCAAAAUAAAAGUUUUAUUAAUCGUGGACUAUCGAUUACAGGACAGAUUCCCCUGAUUGGAAUAGAAAACCGCCAAAUUUUUUGAUUUUAAAGAGCAUAACUUAUAUUUAUCAAGUCUAGUAAUUCUACAUCUAGAAUAAUGGGGUAUCUAAUCCCAGUUUAAUUUCUAGAUUUCUCAACUUCAUAACCAAUAAUUUAAUUAAGUAAAAAAUAGGAUUUCACCCAAUAUUUUAACAAAAUAAAAAAUAAUUUUUAUUAAUUAAGUAUCAAAACUGAAAAAAAAUAGUAGCAUUAUUUGUUUAACCGCA
This 513-nucleotide ribosomal RNA is filed under the name Dematochroma sp. JGZ-51. RNAcentral's name for it is "partial 12S ribosomal RNA". The record is from RNAcentral. Lineage: Eukaryota; Metazoa; Arthropoda; Insecta; Coleoptera; Chrysomelidae.